Non-coding RNA from Monodelphis domestica (gray short-tailed opossum), 1234 nucleotides. Lineage: Eukaryota; Metazoa; Chordata; Mammalia; Didelphimorphia; Didelphidae. The record is from the annotation of a RefSeq genome assembly.
UGGUUCUGCUCUGCCCAGGAGAUUCCUGAAUGAGGAGUAAGGGGACAAGACUGCAAGGAGAAUUGAUGAGAGCUGGACCAAGGCAGAAUGGGAGGGAGGGAGCUCCCUCGCUGGAGGGCCACUUGUUGGGGCUACUAUUGGCGCGGGGAUGUGGGCAGCCCUGGAUGGUCUCUGUGGCGCCUGUCUGACCUGACUGGGGUUUCAAGACUCCAGGGACUCUCUGAAGACUAGUAUUGCAGCUGAGCAGACGUCAAGAAUGGAACUGGGGACUCCCAAAGUGGGGGGAGGCUCUUCUUGUCAUCUUCACCAGAAGGAUUAGCCAGAAGCUAAGGGCCAGACAUUUGAGACAGAGCACACUGCCAGUGCUCAGACAAGGGCUGGGAAGGCUUUAGGCCCUUGAUGUGGGUUUGGAGAGACCCGUGUGCCAUGAUUAAACAGAAGAAAGAGAGGGAGGAUCCUCUGGGAGAGGAAAACAGCAUCCGGGACAAAGGUGCCGGUGGAGAGAAGGGAGGACAAUCUUCAAAAGAACGAGCUCCCCUCCAGUGGGAAGUAUCGCUGUUGACCCUGAGCACAGCCUGGGGGAGCCCGGUGUUGAAGGCAGGAGAGUGGAUGGGGAGCGAGCCCUGCGGAGCACACCUGCCCCUGUUACCACUGGCUCCCAACCACAUCCUCCUAUCAUGCCUGACAGGUUUUCCGACCAGCCAAGCCCAAGGGGGCCAAAACGCACCUGCAGGCAGCCAGGGUUUUGGUCCAACUCUCAAUCAUCGUGGCAUAUCUUCGGCAAAGGGACCAAACUGAUCGUCCUAGGUCAGCCCAAGGCAUCCCCCAUGGUCAUGGCCUAUGGUCCAUCCCAAGAUGAGCUGAGAACCCCCACAGCCACACUCACGUGUCUCAUCAGUGGCUUCUACCCAGGCUCCCUGGAAGUGACCUGGACCAAGAAUGGCUCCCCUGUGUCCAGUGGGGUGCUCACCAGCCAGCCAGUCCGCCAGACUGACAACAAGUACUCAGCCAGCAGUUACCUCUCAGUCAACCCCAAUCAAUGGGGGGAAAACAACCAAUAUAUGUGCAAGGUGACCCAUGAGGGCCAGGUCAUAGAGAAGGAGCUGUCUGCCAGCCAGUGCACAUAGAGGCCCUCACCCUCCAGGACCCCUCACUCCAUCCCCACACAUGGGCAGCCCCAGCUCAUCAAACACUCUCCCAUGCUUCUAAUAAACUCUUUUCCUUUCUCAUUCAA